CCUACGGGCGGCAGCAGUGGGGAAUAUUGGACAAUGGGGGGAACCCUGAUCCAGCCAUGCCGCGUGUGUGAAGAAGGCCCUCGGGUUGUAAAGCACUUUCAGUGAGGAAGAACGCCUGGUGGUUAAUACCCAUCAGGAAAGACAUCACUCACAGAAGAAGCACCGGCUAACUCCGUGCCAGCAGCCGCGGCAAUACGGAGGGUGCGAGCGUUAAUCGGAAUUACUGGGCGUAAAGCGCGCGUAGGUGGCUUGAUAAGCCGGUUGUGAAAGCCCCGGGCUCAACCUGGGAACGGCAUCCGGAACUGUCAAGCUAGAGUGCAGGAGAGGAAGGUAGAAUUCCCGGUGUAGCGGUGAAAUGCGUAGAGAUCGGGAGGAAUACCAGUGGCGAAGGCGGCCUUCUGGACUGACACUGACACUGAGGUGCGAAAGCGUGGGUAGCAAACAGGAUUAGAUACCCUGGUAGUC
RNAcentral lists this ribosomal RNA (465 nucleotides) under Vreelandella stevensii. RNAcentral describes it as "partial 16S ribosomal RNA". It matches the Rfam family "Bacterial small subunit ribosomal RNA", at positions 338 to 795 of the family's 1533-position model. Lineage: Bacteria; Pseudomonadati; Pseudomonadota; Gammaproteobacteria; Oceanospirillales; Halomonadaceae. The record is from RNAcentral.